This 468-nucleotide ribosomal RNA is filed under the name uncultured bacterium. Its description in RNAcentral is "partial 16S ribosomal RNA". It matches the Rfam family "Bacterial small subunit ribosomal RNA", at positions 28 to 507 of the family's 1533-position model. The record is from RNAcentral.
GACGAACGCUGGCGGCGUGCUUAACACAUGCAAGUCGAACGGAAAGGCCCUGCUUUUGUGGGGUGCUCGAGUGGCGAACGGGUGAGUAACACGUGAGUAACCUGCCCUUGAUUUUGGGAUAACUUCAGGAAACUGGGGCUAAUACCGGAUAGGAGCUCCUGCUGCAUGGUGGGGGUUGGAAAGUUUCGGCGGUUGGGGAUGGACUCGCGGCUUAUCAGCUUGUUGGUGGGGUAGUGGCUUACCAAGGCUUUGACGGGUAGCCGGCCUGAGAGGGUGACCGGCCACAUUGGGACUGAGAUACGGCCCAGACUCCUACGGGAGGCAGCAGUGGGGAAUACUGCACAAUGGGCGGAAGCCUGAUGCAGCAACGCCGCGUGCGGGAUGACGGCCUUCGGGUUGUAAACCGCUUUCGCCUGUGACGAAGCGUGAGUGACGGUAAUGGGUAAAGAAGCACCGGCUAACUACGUG